RNAcentral lists this ribosomal RNA (234 nucleotides) under uncultured bacterium. RNAcentral describes it as "partial 16S ribosomal RNA". It matches the Rfam family "Bacterial small subunit ribosomal RNA", at positions 96 to 334 of the family's 1533-position model. The record is from RNAcentral.
UGGCGGACGGGUGAGUAAUGUCUGGGAAACUGCCCGAUGGAGGGGGAUAACUACUGGAAACGGUAGCUAAUACCGCAUAACGUCGCAAGACCAAAGAGGGGGACCUUCGGGCCUCUUGCCAUCGGAUGUGCCCAGAUGGGAUUAGCUUGUAGGUAAGGUAACGGCUUACCUAGGCGACGAUCCCUAGCUGGUCUGAGAGGAUGAUCAGCCACACUGGGACUGAGACACGGCCAG